Molecule: ribosomal RNA, 1788 nt
Filed under: Triticum aestivum (bread wheat)
Lineage: Eukaryota; Viridiplantae; Streptophyta; Magnoliopsida; Poales; Poaceae
Description: partial small subunit ribosomal RNA
Source: RNAcentral
AUGGCGAUGGCCAUGGAAGGGCUCGCUCGACUUGCCUGUAUCUUCUCCACCACCAUACUUUUGCAGAGCCUGGCAUGGCCCUGCAGCAAUGGAGAGAGAGGCUUCUCCUACCCCCAGUCUCCAAAGGUCCCCUCCAUUGUCAGCGAGAGGUACAGGACUGCCUACCACUUCCAGCCUCCAAGGAACUGGAUGAACGAUCCAUGUGGACCAAUGUACUACAAUGGCGUCUACCAUGAAUUCUACCAGUAUAACCCCGAUGGCGCCUUUGACCCCAAUGACUCCCUUAUGAACAUGGUUUGGGGCCAUUCGGUUUCAACAGACCUCAUCAACUGGAUCGGUCUUGAACCGGCAAUCAAACCAGAUAUCCCAAGUGACAUAUGCGGUUGUUGGACCGGCUCAGCCACAAUUCUAUUUGGUGUUCAACCGGUCAUCAUAUACACUGGUCUCAUCGACAGGAAGGCGAAUCAGGUCCAAAACAUUGCGCUUCCCAAAAACCGUUCUGAUCCAUACCUGAGGGAAUGGGCCAAAGUAGGCAGUAACCCAGUGAUCCAACAUGUCAUACCAGGCUUGAACUCGAGCCAUUUCAGGGAUCCGACAACCGGUUGGAUUGGACCGGAUGGACUAUGGAGAAUAGCAGUUGGUGCUGAGGUGAACGGCAUCGGUACUGCACUUCUGUACAAGAGUGAAGACUUUAUGAGUUGGACUAGAAUUGAACGCCCGCUGUAUUCAAACAAUGCCCUCAAUAUGUGGGAGUGCCUGGAUUUCUUCGCCGUAGUGCCGGGAAGUAACAAUGGACUGGACAUGUCUUCAGAAAUUCCAAGUGGCGCCAAGCAUGUCCUCAAAGUGAGCAUCAAUUCCUGUGACAUGUACAUAGUUGGGGUGUAUGAUCUCAAACGUGAUGAAUUUGUGCCAGACACCGUCCAAGAUGACAAUCGGCUGUGGACGAGGAUCGAUUAUGGUACUUUCUAUGCUUCAAAAUCGUUCUUUGACUCCAAACACGGCAGGAGAGUCAUAUGGGCUUGGAGUAACGAGACAGAUAGUUAUUCAGAUGAUAUAGCAAAAGGCUGGGCAGGAAUCCAUUCAAUCCCCAGGACAAUUUGGUUAGAUGGCGAUGGCAAGCAGUUGAUCCAAUGGCCAGUUGAAGAGAUUGAGUCCCUUCGAAUAAAUGAAAUCAACCAUCAAGGACUAGAGCUGAAAAAGGGAGAUCUAUUUGAGAUUAAGGGAAUCGACACUUUGCAGGCUGACGUUGAGAUAGAUUUUGAGCCGACGUCCAUCGAUGACGCCGAAACUUUUGAUCCUUCCUGGCUUUUUGACCCCCGAAAGCAGUGCCGGGAGGCGGAUGCAUCGGUUCAUGGUGGCAUAGGGCCAUUUGGACUUGUUAUUCUGGCCUCUGACAACAUGGAGGAGCACACUGCAGUGCAUUUCAGGGUUUACAAAUCAGAGCAAAAGUACAUUAUCCUCAUGUGCUCUGAUCUUAGAAGGUCUUCCCUGAGACCAGGACUGUACACACCAGCCUAUGGAGGCUUCUUUGAAUUUGACCUUGAAAAUGAAAAAAGGAUAUCCCUCAGGACUCUGAUUGACCGGUCCGCCGUGGAGAGCUUCGGCAGCGGUGGCAGGAUCUGCAUCACGGCCAGAGUUUAUCCGGUGGCACUUGUCGACGACGGCGCCGCCCACAUGUAUGCUUUCAACAAUGGAAGUACCACGGUGAGAGUGCCACAGCUAAGGGCAUGGAGCAUGAAGAGAGCACAGGUGAAUGUGAUGAAGGGUGGAAGUGUGAUCGAUGCUUAG